Long non-coding RNA from Halichondria panicea, 293 nucleotides. RefSeq lists it as uncharacterized. The record is from RefSeq and is a predicted model, not a curated record. Lineage: Eukaryota; Metazoa; Porifera; Demospongiae; Suberitida; Halichondriidae. The transcript is spliced from 2 exons.
GUUCUCAUCACCUAUGUACACGCAUGAGCUGUUCAUGUUGUUGUCUCUAUAUGAUAUACUAAAAGUGUCGAGCUUCUGCCAUUCCUUGAGAGUCAGACUUGAGAGAGCAAUUGGAAGCUAUAUAUAUACAUGUAUAGUAUAGCACUGGUCAUGGUGCUAUAUACUCCGUGACUAAUUCUGGUGUUCGAGUAUACCACAAUGACGGUCAUGCACGUUAAACAACUUUUGUGUACACGCAUGUCCAUACAUGCUCUUUUGUUAUAAAAAUUAUUAAAAUUGUGUUUGUACAAAAA